UUACUUUUCCAGAAGUUGUGUUUGAAGUAUAGAGAAAUGUGUUGCUGGCAUUGGAAUACCAGACAGGCUGACAACACGGCUGGAGGUAGGAGUGGUGUGCAGAAUAAAUAGCCACCGAAUGUAGUGACAACUUUGAGUGACAGAUGAAGAAAAAAAAGAACUAUUUUUCUGAUAACAUGUCAAGAAACAAAUGCCUCUUUCUUUCAGAAGAAAAAGCUCACCUCUAUUGCUGGAUACUUAGCAUUUGGAAGGACAAGUUAGUUGACAUGACAGUUCAUCUUCAAACUGACCUUUGGGGCUCACUCACAGAAUCUGCAUGAUGAUGUCUUCAAUUCUAAGAAUAACUGUGGAUGUAAUAUAUUGAGCAUUCACCACAUGCUGACCAAGAUAAACAUUCUAUAGCCGUCGUUUAAUUCUCAUCACAAUCCGGUGAGAUAUUGCUAUUCCCUUUGACUUAAUGAAGAAACUGAAAUGUGGAAAGGUUAAAGGAACAUGCAGAUAGAAGUUGCAGUGCCUGGAUUCAAACCCAGAUGUGAUCAUUUUUUGAAAGAGUAAGAACGAACACUCUCUCCCUUCCCCAAGGUAGAAUCUAAGAACAACAGACAGUGGUUAAGAACUGAGCUGAGUUUUUGCUGAACUAGGGGUCUGUGAGCUCUACUUGUGUGACUAAUGAAGUGAGGCAUUAAGUGGCAAUAGAGCCACUGAGAAGGACUCUCAUUCUCAGCAAGCACAAAGUGAAAAGAAGUGAGCAGACUAGACCUUACAUAAUGUUGAGAAUUACUGAUUCUCUAGAGGGAGAAACAAUUUGAAAUUUUAGCAUGUAUUUAAUAAGCACUAGUAUAGCAUAAACUGUAUGUCAGACAUUAUUUUUACUUGAAAAUUACUUGAUUACUUGAUAACUAUUUUUACUUGAUUAGCUCAUUUAGUCCUUAAAAUAACCUAUGAAAUGGAUACUAUUAUUGUCCUCAUUUUAUAGGUGAAGAAACUAAAAUAUAAAAAUGUUAAAUUACUUGCCCAAAAACCUACUGUUAGUAAGGGACAAAAUUAAGAUUUAAACCAAGGACUUUGGCUCUAGACCAAAUACUUAAGCACAGCAAUAUAGUACCCCUGACAGAAAAAUAUUUUGUUAUGUUUUAUGGGCUUAGACUAGUGUUUCUCAACCUUGGGUUCCAGGUGCCCAGGGCCCUCAAACAUUUUCAGAGAUGUUCUCACAUUCUCUUCAAGAACUUUUAAUUUUAUGUUUAGUUUUCAGCUGAAGUGAAGCUUAAGCUAUAACUAACAUAGUUUUUUCACCUUUAGAAAGCUUGGUUGUUAAGAGGGUCCUCAUGCUAACAGGAGCCUCAAAGGCAGGGUCUGCCAGCCAGAAAGAGAGGAGCAGAGGGAGCUGGGGCAGGCAACCGCGCUGGAACCACUGUGCAUCCUCCAGGUCUCCUGAAGUUAUCCAUUUCAUGAAGACGUCCCAGUACUCCCCACUGCAUUUGCUCUCUCUGGAUGCUUAUUGUCCUUUGUGUGCACCUCUCUUGUGGCCCUUCACUCAAGAUGGCCAGUGUUAGCGUUCUUUGUAUAUUGACCAACCGACUUCUAUGUUGGAACCACCUUGAGAGUGCCAUACAGACUGCUGGUGGCUCUGAAUAUUGAAUCUUUCCUUCGCAAUAGAACCUUGAAUUUUAGCUGGGUACAUUGCCAGGCAACUAAAAGACCACAUUCCCCAGUCUUCUAUGGCUACACAUGUGACUCAUAUGACUAAUCUCUAACCAAAUGAGAUGUGAGCAGAAAUGUUGAAAUAAAUUUCAAGAAAAUUUUCUUUUAAAAAAGGUAUGAUGGUAAUGGGAAAGAUAUGCAUAUGUGAGAGUACAAGGUGUAUAAAAAAUCUCGUACCUUCUGCUCAAGUUUUUGUGAACCUAAAAUUGCCCUUUAAAAAUAUCUAAUAAAAAAUUUAAAUAAUAA
This is a long non-coding RNA of Phyllostomus hastatus (greater spear-nosed bat), 1947 nucleotides long. RefSeq lists it as uncharacterized. The transcript is spliced from 2 exons. The record is from RefSeq and is a predicted model, not a curated record. Lineage: Eukaryota; Metazoa; Chordata; Mammalia; Chiroptera; Phyllostomidae.